Long non-coding RNA from Vicia villosa (hairy vetch), 370 nucleotides. RefSeq lists it as uncharacterized. The transcript has 2 exons. NCBI's taxonomy places the organism in Eukaryota, Viridiplantae, Streptophyta, Magnoliopsida, Fabales, Fabaceae. The record is from RefSeq and is a predicted model, not a curated record.
AGGUUGCCCAAAAUUACCCGAAGAAGAUUUUCAACAUUGAAACUUUUGCUUUGAUAACAAUGGAACUUUGUAUACACUACCUUUUUAAAAUAUUUCAUAGGUUUUCAUCACCAGUUUAUCACAAGAGUUCAUUGAGGAUGAGAGCUUCCAAUCAAUAGGGAAGUCAAGUAGCUUCACAGUGUCACCAGUUUAAAUUGAAACCCUUUGUUAUGAAACUCAAUUUAAAGUUUUCGUUAUGUAAAUGCACUAGACGGAUUUGGUUUUUAGUUAGAUAUAUUUAGUGUUGCAACUUGUGAAUUGACCUUUGAUUCAUUUUGGUUGUUACUGUUAUUAGUUAGUUAACAGAGUAAAGUUGGAAGAUAUUAUUUUA